AGUGACUCUCCCUGUACAUGACUGGCUGAAUCUUAGCAUCGGUCCAGGCUUCCCGCCACAUGUCAAGUGUCUGACAAAUGGCCCUGGGGGCAGGCAUGGUGGAGCCACCCCGGGGGCUGUGGACGCUUGGCUACUCUCUGGUUGGCACCCAAGCUACUGAAACUCUGAUCUUCAGGGGCAAGGGGGCCAGGACAGGGCUGCAGCCACCGUCCAUGGGCCUGUCCUACCUGUCCCGCCUGGAAGGCCAGCUCGAGGCGGGAGCACACUGCAGUCUGAAUCUGGAGGGCAGGGAGUCCGGCCAGUUCCCUGAGGCACGUGCCACCACGGGCAGCUGGUGAGCUUGGUGUAGCCACUCAUGCAGCAGCUGGUGGCCCGGGGAGCGAGGAGGGGACGCGUGUCUGUACACCCUGGUUAGCUGCCCCCAGGGGAUUAGUCCUCACUUAAUGCCUCCCGGUGCCCUGACCCAGCAUUCUGCCUGGCCCCCCCACCACAAAUAGCAUCAGGCAGGACUCCGAGACUUUAUCUUUCAAGAUUAAUCCAGCUCAGCGUGGAAUUAAUGAGAACAUCCCUUUAGACAAGGGUGCCCAAGGUCAGGCGGCAAGAGCCAGUUGGGAUGCUCAGAGGUCAUUUUCCUGUAGCAGGGCCGAGGGAAGAGCCCACUUUAGGGGAGCAGGCGGGGCUGAGGGAGCACGGACGGAGGAGAGAUUUUGUUGAACGAGGGUGCAGUGUUCGGCUAGGAGAAGACCUCGGGGCAGAACAAGGGGUUCGUCUGGCUUCAGAUCAGUGUGUUCACAGGCUUGGGGAUCGCCUGGGGCUGCCGUCCUCAAAAGUCAGGGGAGCCCCAAGCUCUUUCCGGAACCCUCUGCACCCAGGGCUCUCGGUCGGGCCCGGGCUGCCGCAGGGCAGAUGGGCGUGGUUAAAAUAGGAGGGGCUGACACGGCGGACGAAGCUUCGCGUGGGCGGGGCGCCGCGGGUGGGCGGGGCCAUAGAAGACGGGCCAGAAGGUCCGCAGGCUUGGAGAGCAGGCGUUUCUUGCGCACAGCUUGGUCCUUCGCGGCGAGGAGGAGAGACCGUCCAGAGCCUCCUGUCACUGUCUCCGGAGGGGACCCUCUGCAGAACAACCUCAGCAGUCUGAGAUUUGCUGUUCCUGGUCCAGUGUGCAGAGCCACAGCCCGGGUGACCUGGAGGCUGGAGCGCUAACCUUCCCUGCAAGAAGCCGCCCAGGGCAAGCUGAAGAGGAAGGGAGGAGCAGCUGUUAGAUUUUGCACACGAUGCAUUACACUUGGAGUGGUGAGCAAGCAGGCUGCGUCCUGGGAGGCAGAUGACGCCCUUUGUGUGGGGACAGCGACGCAGCUGUGCACGCUCAGACUGGUUGUCACAGACACUGGGCAUUCAAGCCCUUCCCUCUGAAGCAUGGAUGUCUUGAUUUGCGCUGGUGGAAAAUAUCAGGACAGGAAAUCCAGGAGCAAAUGUAGCUCUGUGGAGCUGCCCGUUCAUUUGCAAAAAGAAAAAAUAUAGAUGCCUCUUUCUCAA
This is a non-coding RNA of Heterocephalus glaber (naked mole-rat), 1533 nucleotides long. The record is from RefSeq and is a predicted model, not a curated record. Lineage: Eukaryota; Metazoa; Chordata; Mammalia; Rodentia; Bathyergidae.